Molecule: ribosomal RNA, 573 nt
Filed under: uncultured bacterium
Lineage: Bacteria
Description: bacterial SSU rRNA
Rfam family: Bacterial small subunit ribosomal RNA
Source: RNAcentral
AGAGUUUGAUCCUGGCUCAGGAUGAACGCUAGCGAUAGGCCUAACACAUGCAAGUCGAGGGGCAGCAUAGGGUAGCAAUACUUUGAUGGCGACCGGCGCACGGGUGAGUAACACGUAUGCAACCUACCUACAACAGGGGAAUAACCCGGAGAAAUUCGGACUAAUACCCCAUAAUACAGGGAUGCCGCAUGGCAAUAUUUGUUAAAGAUUUAUCGGUUGUAGAUGGGCAUGCGUUCCAUUAGAUAGUUGGUAAGGUAACGGCUUACCAAGUCAGCGAUGGAUAGGGGAACUGAGAGGUUUAUCCCCCACACUGGAACUGAGACACGGACCAGACUCCUACGGGAGGCAGCAGUGAGGAAUGUUGGUCAAUGGACGAGAGUCUGAACCAGCCAAAUCGCGUGAAGGAAGACUGCCUUAUGGGUUGUAAACUUCUUUUAUACAGGAAUAAAAAGAGGGAUGUAUCCCUUAUUGCAUGUACUGUAUGAAUAAGCAUCGGCUAACUCCGUGCCAGCAGCCGCGGUAAUACGGAGGAUGCGAGCGUUAUCCGGAUUUAUUGGGUUUAAAGGGUGCGCA